This is a non-coding RNA of Pantherophis guttatus, 426 nucleotides long. The record is from RefSeq and is a predicted model, not a curated record. Lineage: Eukaryota; Metazoa; Chordata; Lepidosauria; Squamata; Colubridae.
ACGGGUCCCAUCGAUUAGGGAUGUAAUCUGAUGGCUGGGACCACAAAAAAGGGCCUUCUUCUGUGGUGGCCACUUCUCUAUGGAACAUCAUUCCCCCUGCAAUAUGAUUUGUUGCAGGAUCCAAUUUGGGUCCAUCACUGGGACCAGAGGUUUAGCUUUCAAAUUCUUAAAUAAAUAAAAUACAGAAGAGGAGAAAGAGGAGCCAUGUUAUGAAAAGAGCGUUGCAGAAAUGGAAAUAGUUCAAAAGGGUAGGAGAGAUAUGGACGAUCAAGAGGAUAACAAUACAGGGGGAUGACGACUGACAUCGCGACUCAAAACAACGCUGAAACUUAAACUGUGGAUGCCAUCUACAGGUGAAUGGAACUAUACCAUACCUCUACAAGCCUGCAAAUGUUUGAUAAGAGAAAUAAACAACAUCCAUCUGGA